This 306-nucleotide ribosomal RNA is filed under the name Triticum aestivum (bread wheat). Its description in RNAcentral is "partial small subunit ribosomal RNA". The record is from RNAcentral. Lineage: Eukaryota; Viridiplantae; Streptophyta; Magnoliopsida; Poales; Poaceae.
AUGUUCCCCAUGUUCCAAGAGCUUGCACCAGAGGGCCCACAUGACAAGUGUGGUCACCACCACGCGAUUUGCCUUGACCUGAAGAACCAACGUUUUGAGGUGCUUGAUUCAAUGCGUUCAGAAGCUGAUGCAGACCUUACUACACAUGUUGAAUACUUCAUCAACAACCUCAAAGAGACAUGGAACCGUCACUACAAAAACUCAAGGGUCCAGAUCGGUCAUUUUCCAAUCGAGUAUGUCGCGACUACGAAGCAAGGAAACUGGCAUGACUAUGGCUUUCACAUGUUGGAAUACCUUGCAAAGUGA